GCUUUCGGGCAGCAGGAACCGGCGAACGGGUGCGUAACACGUAUGCAACCUACCUAUAACUGGGGGAUAGCCCGAAGAAAUUCGGAUUAAUGCCCCAUAUGCUCGUACGGCCUCAUGGUCGAGCGAGGAAAGCUCCGGCGGUAAGAGAUGGGCAUGCGUCCUAUUAGUUAGUUGGUAAGGUAACGGCUUACCAAGACAGCGAUGGGUAGGGGCCCUGAGAGGGGGAUCCCCCACACUGGUACUGAGACACGGACCAAACUCC
RNAcentral lists this ribosomal RNA (262 nucleotides) under uncultured bacterium. RNAcentral's name for it is "partial 16S ribosomal RNA". It matches the Rfam family "Bacterial small subunit ribosomal RNA", at positions 76 to 339 of the family's 1533-position model. The record is from RNAcentral.